UACGGAGGGUGCGAGCGUUGUCCGGAAUCAUUGGGCGUAAAGGGCGCGUAGGUGGCCCGGUCAGUCAGUGGUGAAAGCGCGGGGCUCAACUCCGCGUCGGCCAUUGAUACUGCUGGGCUGGAGCACUGUAGAGGCAGGCGGAAUUCCGGGUGUAGCGGUGGAAUGCGUAGAGAUCCGGAAGAACACCGGUGGCGAAGGCGGCCUGCUGGGCAGUUGCUGACACUGAGGCGCGACAGCGUGGGGAGCAAACAGG
This 253-nucleotide ribosomal RNA is filed under the name uncultured bacterium. RNAcentral's name for it is "partial 16S ribosomal RNA". It matches the Rfam family "Bacterial small subunit ribosomal RNA", at positions 524 to 776 of the family's 1533-position model. The record is from RNAcentral.